Long non-coding RNA from Cyprinus carpio (common carp), 363 nucleotides. RefSeq lists it as uncharacterized. The transcript has 4 exons. The record is from RefSeq and is a predicted model, not a curated record. Lineage: Eukaryota; Metazoa; Chordata; Actinopteri; Cypriniformes; Cyprinidae.
AAAAUGCAGGAUCCAGUAUGCAGACUGCACAGCAAGUGUGCAGACAAAUCCCUGUGUCUGCUGUUCAGGAAAAUGCAAGAACAGAAGUUGCACCCACCAUACAAAUACAAUUCCAAAAUGCAAAGCAAACAAUAGAAGUUCAAAAACAGAAAAUCCUUCACCUGUAGGAUACGGUUAACUCUCUGACAGAGGAGAGAAAUUAUCUUCGUGCAAGACUUGAAGAUGCUUUAAUUCAGAAGGGUCCCUCAGAAGGGGUACCUACACAGACUGCAACUACAAGAAAGAGCAGUACUUCUGAAUCUUCAAAUUUUUCAACUUCCGAGUCCUCUGAUUCUGAGCCCCCAAAACACAAAAAAAGAAAGG